AGAGUUUGAUCCUGGCUCAGGACGAACGCUGGCGGCAUGCCUAAUACAUGCAAGUCGUGCGCAGGAAGCAGACUGAAGUCUUCGGACGGACGUUUGUGGAAUGAGCGGCGGAUGGGUGAGUAACACGUGGGCAACCUGCCUGUAAGAUUGGGAUAACUCCGGGAAACCGGUGCUAAUACCGAAUAAAACUAUUGAUCACCUGAUUAAUAGAUAAAAGAUGGCUCUUUGAGCGAUUACUUACAGAUGGGCCCGUGGCGCAUUAGCUAGUUGGUGGGAUAAUGGCCUACCAAGGCAACGAUGCGUAGCCGACCUGAGAGGGUGAUCGGCCACACUGGGACUGAGACACGGCCCAGACUCCUACGGGAGGCAGCAGUAGGGAAUCUUCCGCAAUGGACGCAAGUCUGACGGAGCAAUGCAAUCCCGCGGCCAUGGCGGCCGGGAGCAUGCGACGUCGGGCCCAAUUCGCCCUAUAGUGAGUCGUAUUACAAUUCACUGGCCGUCGUUUUACAACGUCGUGACUGGGAAAACCCUGGCGUUACCCAACUUAAUCGCCUUGCAGCACAUCCCCCUUUCGCCAGCUGGCGUAAUAGCGAAGAGGCCCGCACCGAUCGCCCUUCCCAACAGUUGCGCAGCCUGAAUGGCGAAUGGACGCGCCCUGUAGCGGCGCAUUAAGCGCGGCGGGUGUGGUGGUUACGCGCAGCGUGACCGCUACACUUGCCAGCGCCCUAGCGCCCGCUCCUUUCGCUUUCUUCCCUUCCUUUCUCGCCACGUUCGCCCGGCUUUCCCCGUCAAGCUCUAAAUCGGGGGGCUCCCUUUAGGGUU
Molecule: ribosomal RNA, 822 nt
Filed under: uncultured bacterium
Lineage: Bacteria
Description: bacterial SSU rRNA
Rfam family: Bacterial small subunit ribosomal RNA (bases 2-541)
Source: RNAcentral